RNAcentral lists this transfer RNA (61 nucleotides) under Pinctada maxima (silver-lipped pearl oyster). Its description in RNAcentral is "tRNA-Leu". Lineage: Eukaryota; Metazoa; Mollusca; Bivalvia; Pterioida; Pteriidae. The record is from RNAcentral.
UUUGUAGUGACAGAUGAAUGUGUAGGAUUUAAGAUCCUAAGAUGUGGAAGCACCUACAAAA